UGGAGGUUGCGGUGAGCCAAGAUUGUGCCAUUGCACUCCAGCCUGGACUACAAGAGGGAGACUCUGUCUAAAAAAAAAAAAAGGUUUGAGUAACCCAUGAGAAGGUUGUAAAUUAAACAAAGAGGUAUUAUAUUGUUUAAUGAGAAAUCAAAGGAUAAAAAAGAAAAGAAAACAGAGGUAAAAAGCCCAGAGAACAAGCAGAAAUGAAACUUAAGUGGCAGACAUUCCAGCCAAUAACAGAAUACAUAUUCUUUUCAUGUGCCUUUGGAAACAUAUACAAAGAUAGACAUAUUCUAGGCCAUAAAACAACAUAAUGCAAAACUUUAUUUAGUUAAAAAAUUUUUUUUUAAUUUAAGUCAUGUAAUGUUGGUCAUAUCAGUAGGCCAAAGAAGAAAAAUCAUGAUUAUAUCAGUUAAUGCAAUGAGUUUGGCAGAAUUCAACAACCGUUUAUAAACAGACUCUCAGUACAAUAGGAACAAAGGAGAAACUUCUAAAAAUCUACAGCCAACAUUCUUUUUAAAAUUUGGUAGGCCAGGCGCGCACGGCGGCUGCGGCGCGCAGACACAAGUAGUUUACAUUGUUGCGCGACUUUUGCAACAACUCGCGGCGCUGCGGCCGCUGCCCGCUGCCUGCACCGCCGGCCGGGCAUGAGUUAGUGGCAGACAUGGACACCAAACAUUUCCUCCCGCUCGAUUUCUCCACCCAGGUGAACUCGUCCCUCACCUCCCCGACAGGCCGAGGCUCCAUGGCCGUGCCCUCCCUGCACCUGUCCCUGGGGCCUGGCAUCGGGUCCCCAGGGCAGCUGCACUCCCCCAUGAGCACCCUGAGCUCCCCCAUCAAUGGCAUGGGCCCGCCCUUCUCCAUCAUCAGCUCCCCCAUGGGCCCGCACUCCAUGUCGGUGCCUGCCACACCCACCCUAGGCUUCAGCACUGGCAGCCCCCAGCUCAGCUCACCCAUGAACCCCGUCAGCAGCAGCGAGGACAUCAAGCCUCCCUUGGGCCUCAGUGGCAUCCUCAAGGUCCCCGCCCACCCCUCAGGAAACAUGGCAUCCUUCACCAAGCACAUCUGCGCCAUCUGCGGGGACCGCUCCUAAGGCAAGCACUACGGCGUGUACAGCUGUGAGGGCUGCAAGGGCUUCUUCAAGUGGACGGUGCGCAAGGACCUGACCUACACCUGCCGCAAGAACAAGGGCUGCCUGAUUGACAAGCGGCAGCGGAACCGGUGCCAGUACUGCCGCUACCAGAAGUGCCUGGCCAUGGGCAUGAAGCAGGAAGCCGUGCAGGAGGAGCGGCAGCGUGGCAAGGACGAGAAUGAGGUGGAGUCGACCAGCAGCGCCAAUGAGGACAUGCCCGUGGAGAGAAUCCUGGAGGCCGAGCUGGCUGUGGAGCCCAAGACCGAGACCUACCUGGAGGCCAACGUGGGGCUGAACCCCAGCUGGCCGAACCACCCCGUCACCAACAUCUGCCAAGCAGCCGAUAAGCAGCUCUUCACCCUGAUGGAGUGGGCCAAGCGCAUCCCGCACUUCUCAGAGCUGCCCCUGGACGACCAGGUCAUCCUGCUGCAGGCAGGCUUGCCAAGCUUUUGCUCCGCCUGCCGGCUCUGCGCUCCACUGGGCUCAAGCGCCUGGAACAUCUCUUCUUCAAGCUCAUUGGGGACACGCCCAUCGACACCUUCCUCAUGGAGAUGCUGGAAGCCCCACACCAAAUGACAGGCCUGCGGGCCCAUCCUUCGCGCCCGCCGGGUCUGGCCACCCCACCUGGACGCAGCUGCUCUUCUCAGCCUGCGCCCUGUUCUUGCCCCUCUCUGCCUGGCCCGUUUGGACUUUGGGGCGCAGCCUGUCACUGCUCUGCCUAAGAGAUGUGUUGUCACCUCCUUAUUUCUGUUACUACUUGUCUGUGGCCCAGGGCAGUGGCUUUCCUGAGGCGGCAGCCUGAGUGGCAAGAACUACAGUGAGCCCAGCCAGGUGCUUCCCCACCAGGCUCUCGGGACACCCUGCCACACCCCACAGGUCUUUUCUAAAGAUAGCACUAACAUCAGCUCAUUAGCCACCUGGGCCUGUUCCCAGCUUGGCCCGGCUGGAUGAAGCGGCUUCCCCACGGGCCCCCCUUCGCAGUGGCUGCUUCCUGGGCCACCAGGGCACCCCAGCGCCUUCAGGCAUGUUCCUCAGCUGGUCACCUCCUUGCUUUGCCUUCCGAUGGGGCUCCUGAGGCUGAGGAGUGAAGAUGCCGCAGAGCCAGGCCACCCUAGGCUUCGUCAGGUGUGUUUGGAAGCUGGCCUGCUGGGGCCCUCCAUCCUAGGGCCUGUGUCAGCCACCAGCCCUGUGCACCCUGGAAGCACACAGGCUCUGGGAAAGAUAGCCCUGACCUUUGGUGUUCCAAGUCACGGUGUUCCCCAAGAAUUCUGGGCCGGCAGCCUGCUGGCGAAGACCCUAAGCCUUUCCCUGUGGGGCACCCAGGAGGGCCUAGCCGGCAUGUGCAGCCUGUGGGUGGCCGGCUGAUGUCCCCGCUGUGGUCAGGGUGCGUGACCUGGUGCCCAUCCACGCAGGUGUAUGGUGUAAACAUGUAUGUGCUGUACAGACGUGUGUGGAGAGAGCCGCGCACCAGGGCCACGGAGAGGCGGAGCAGUUACCAAUGUUUCGUAUUUAUUUUUAAUCAAGACGUUUCCCCUGUUUUCCUAUAAAUUUGCUUAGUGUAAGCAAGUACAUAAAGGCCCUCCUUUGGUGAAAUCUGGAUUCGAAUGAAUAUCUCAAGGCAGGAGAUGCAUCUGUUUUAAGAUGCUUUGGAGCAGACAGCUUUAGCCGUUCCCAAUCCUUAGCAAUGCCUUAGCUGGGACGCAUAGCUAAUACUUUAGAGAGGAUGACGGAUACAUAAGAGAGUAACGAUAGGAGAAAAUGUCUAAAGCAUCUGGAAAGGUAAAAAAAAAAAAAAUCUAUUUUUGUACAAAUGUAAUUUUAUCCCUCGUGUAUACUUGGAUGUGGCGGGGGGAGGGCUGGGACUGUUUUGUUUCUGCUUCUAGAGAUUGAUGUGAAAGCUUCUUCCGAGAGAUGCCAGGGCAGACGAUGGCAAAGGAGAGGGCCCCUGUGACAGCGGCGAGGCUUGGGAGGAAACCACCACCGGGGGCAUCUUCCUUGGGGAUGGGAGGGUGGGCCUGAGGCUUUCAAGGGUUUUCUUCCCUUUUUGAGUAAUUUUUAAAGCCUUGCUCUGUUGUGUCCUGUGGCCAGCCUUUCCGUGACUGUGACUGAAAUGGCUUCCCCAUACGAUUGUCUGAAACGUGGCAGCGGCAGGUGCCGGGGUCUGAUGGACAGUGGCAUAGAAUUGUGGAAAAGAAACACGCAAAAGGAGAAACAUGAGAGAAGAAACAAAAUAUGAGUGUUUAAAAUA
This is an RNA transcript of Sapajus apella (tufted capuchin), 3380 nucleotides long. It is a transcript of the gene named retinoic acid receptor RXR-alpha pseudogene, with no coding region annotated. Lineage: Eukaryota; Metazoa; Chordata; Mammalia; Primates; Cebidae. The record is from RefSeq and is a predicted model, not a curated record. The transcript has a single exon.